This 6416-nucleotide unclassified non-coding RNA is filed under the name Acanthaster planci (crown-of-thorns starfish). RNAcentral describes it as "treslin-like, transcript variant X1". Lineage: Eukaryota; Metazoa; Echinodermata; Asteroidea; Valvatida; Acanthasteridae. The record is from RNAcentral.
GAUACGUUUUGUUUGAAAAAUGGCCGCCGAAUUUCCACGACCAACAUGCUGAGAUUGUCCUUUUAAAUUUUGGGAGUAAAAUUUGCAAAAUGGCUGCUGAAGAGAGGAAUUUUAAAGCAGCCUUCCUCAUUGAUACACGGAGACAAAUCACAUCAAAAGAAAGGCCAUUAGAAGCCGACACUUUUUCCCGGGGAGUACGUUUGUGUGUGCUCAAACUGUUGUCGUAUUUCACCCACAUUCGCGACCACAGUCAACAAGCAAUCACCCAUCUGCGGUGGGGAUUCAAAGUGUUUCACUCGUACGAUUAUCCGCCUUGCAGACGCGACUACCUAAAGCAACUCUCGGUGAGAAACUUCCAGGACUUCGAAGAUCAGCUUUCGGGUGAUUUGGAGGGUCUCGCGUCGUCAAUUCGUGGAAGACGGGCGCCGAAGACUCCGCAGGUUUUGACAGCGACUUCCGUCCGGCAGGCGCUCGACGACGUCCUCCACGAUUUUCAGUGGGACGGACCCGAUGUCUGUUCCCCCGUGAAACGGAGCUCGGCUCCCUCGCCGAGGAGGGGGCUGAGAAUGCGGGGUUCCAACUGCCAACUGUCGAAGUGUGUUUUUCUGAUGAUGCCUUGCCCAGUCAGCCGAUCAGAGAUGGAGGAAUUUUGUGAUUUUGGUCCAGAUGAUCCACUGCCAAGGACCUCAGAGUUUCUUGAAAUGGUUCUUCCAACGAGUGGCGCACAACAGAUCUUUCAAGAUCAAAAUAUUGCUUUGUUUUGGAUUGACACCAGUCCAUGGAUCUCAACAGAAAAGAGGGACAACGAUGGGUUGUCGGUCAUCUCUCUGGCCAUGCGGGAGCUGGGCGGCUGUGUUAUUCCAGUCCAUGCCUUGGUCAGUCACAUGCAGCAUGUCACAACUAGCCUCAUGUCAUCCGUCCUGACCUCGCAAGAGCAGAGCGCGAGUGCCACCGUGACCAGUGGAGCAGCAGAUUGUGAGGUGUCACACCAGGAGAAAGACAAAUCGUCAUCCCUGUCAUCAGUGUCGAGGACAAAGUUGAAGUCCACGGAUUGUCCCCAUGAGCCCAAAGAAACCAGAGUGACAUCUGGGGGAAGAUGUGACCAACAAAAGAAGACAAGAAGUUGUUCUUUCCUUCCAUUUUCAACCGUCAUGGACUAUUACCUGAAUUCAAGAGAGACAGUGCCUUCAGAGCGGGAAAAGUGUCCACGCCUAAAACUGUCAGUUAUUACAGAUGGCAAGGUGACAGAUUUGUGUUGCCUUGAACUGUGCCCUCUUACCAAAGGACCAUCUAGUCCUUCAGGACGUACCUGUAGAUAUGUGCCAUCCCAAAAUGCAACAGCAAGUCCGCUGAAAGCCACAUCCACUGAACUAACCAUCACAGCCCCAGGCUGUAGCCAUGUUUCCAGCGUUACCAAUCAGGAUCCCAAAAUUGUUACCGAUGGCACCGAAGCAUCAGGACCACCUUCCACUGGAACUCCCCACAGAGUCCAAAAUCAAGCUUUCAUAAAGACCAAACUACCAAGUGGUGUCGUGCCCAUUUCACUUUACCAAACCGACGCUGUUUACGCAUGCACAGGUUUUUCUUUUGCUGUACAGUCUGCAGAAAAGAAGUCUGGCCCACGUGAAGACGACAAACUUUCAGGUUGGUUCAGGGAAGCCAUGAUUAGCCUCAGCCAGCAAAAGAAAGUCUUGUUGGUCGAUAUGACACACCCAGAAGUCGGCACACCCGUCAUGGCAGUACUGGAGCCCCUCACGUCCACCACCGCAUCCCUCCGGACUCUGAAAUCAUGGCCUCUCCCCGGGUACGGUUCGACCGGUCUCUGCGACGAGGCCGGCAGGGCAACGAGAGCCAGCAUAAAUAGGAGAAGUCGCAGUGGGGACGACAGGACCAGGAUAACCAGAAUCGCCGAGGAAUGCGUAAAGAGACGAAGUGGCCUGGAAAAAAUGUUGGAAAACCCUCAAGGAGCUGAAGAAACGUCCCACCCAAUUCCCCUGUCAUCCAACCACAGUGAGAUGGUCUCAUUCCGGCCUCAUGUCUUAGAGCCCUGGUAUCCUUACUGCCCGUCAGGUGGUGCAUCUGCCAGACUGCUUGAUAAGCUACAGAGUUUUCCUCUUCGUGACAAACCCCACGACUCCAUGAAUCCCACCUUACCAGGUCAGCUCCUUCAGAGGCUUGUGGAAACGUACAACAGACAGCCUGGCAUCAACAGUAGCCAGAGCACUGCCAUGAAGACCACUGAACCGGUAGAUGGCAAGACAGAGACCCAGGCUAGGCAGCCAGCUGUUGAGCCUGGACCGGUGAGGCAGAGCCCUCGCCUCCAGAGACGCAAGAGUACGAUGAACGUGGGCUUCCGCACGGAGAAAAUCAUGAGCAACAGCCUGCGCAUCCGGGUCACCAAGGAGCCGAGCCCCGCAAAGAGGGACCAGAAGGAGAACCGGGCACCGGGCAGUGCCAGGACCAAGACCACGAUGUUUAAGUGUCCAUCAUUUGACUCUGAGCAGGACGUGAUUGACUGCAUUCAGGCCGCCUACGAGAAAGGAGUGUCAGAGGGUUCUUCAGCGGUGGAUUUUGUACCGUUCAUAACCAGUAUAGUGCUGUCCUACAUGAAGUCCAGUUCCACAGAUUCUGGAGAAAAUGAAGCUGUGGCUAGGGCCAGGGAGCUACUGACACGCUGCCUGCUAGUCUCCAGCAACCAACUGCGGGACAAGUACCAGUCCCGGACCGACGAGUCGGGCAAUCUGCUCAGGGUGCAGGAGAUUGAGGUGCAGGUCCUGCUGCGGCUGGAGAUGGAGGCUAUAUCGCCAACGGAUGUCUCCCUAGGCAAAUGCCAAGCAGUUAGUCAGGAUGACGGCGUGGCUGCUGAAGGCGGACGGGACGAUGAGGAGAAUCAGGAGAGGGGCGGAGUCAGCAGUGCAGAGGAAGAGGGGACCAAACUCCCUGAGAACGUUCAAAAAUUAGUAGAUGAGAUUGUCAAACUUUUGAGAGCUGUUCCCUUCCUGGCUGAUACCAGCAGGCUAACAACCUUCCUCGCCGACAACCUCCUGCAAAACUAUGCUGACUCGUUGCCUCACGUCUUGCGCGUCAUCUACGAUGACCUGAUGCAGCCAGUCCCCUCCAUCUUGCUGUCACCCGGCAGCAGCGAUGUGGCUCUUUCCUCCGUCAAGACCCAACCGCCUCCGUCGUAUCGUUCCUCCUCCCAUGGGUCGUUCCCCGAGCCCUCUGUCUCAAGCAUAAGGACAAGAUCCUUGGUCCGUCAUCCGAGCCUGGUUGAUAUGGGAAGCAAAAGAGUCAUACCGGUCCCGUCAAGGAAUGCCGCCAAGAAAAAGGAUAAAACAAAAGCAAAAGAAGUAAAGGAUGACGCCACUUCGAAUGCCAAGACGGUGCGCAGGAACCUCUUCAUGGGUGGAGCCAAACACAGCCCCAGGAAAGGUGUAGGCGGCAAACUCCCACGACGGCAGAGCGUGGCCGUCAUGCAGAGUGCUCAGAGCACCAGGAAAAGUCCAAGGAGACGCACACCUCAAAGGGCCAAAGCACCCCUGGUGCUGAAGACAAGGGUCGUCAAGGAGACGCCGGGCAAGAAGCAGGUUUUGCAGGCCAUGCUGAAGAAGCAGGAGAGGGCGAGGAGAUUCUCGGCAAAUUCCGGGAGAGUCGUGGUUCCUCCAACCCCCACAAGAGUGAUCGAAGAAUCGCCGCUGAAACCGCCACCUGCCCUGAAUGUUCGUCGCAGUCCACGUGUCAAACCUCGGAAGCCUGGGGACAGGCGCAGCUUCUACUCCACGAGUAGCGUCGCCGACCUGAAGCGGGCCCGCGACUUGGGUUCCAGGAUUGCGGGCAAGGCAACCCCACCUCCCCCUGACAAGCCACUCCCACCCGCAAGCAGGAAGUCGCUGUUGAGUGAGAUCUGCAGUCCAAGGAGCUUACCAGGGACAUUGCCACCAACCCAGGGUGAGCCCGAAUCCUCAAGUCGGAAUACCAGGUCCCAAGUAAAACGGACACCCUCAAAGGAUUUGGUAGGAAAAGCGACCCAAGCCGGAACAAGCCCAAAUGAGACAGGCAAAACAGAGGAUGCAGUGUUCAAGACACCCACAAGAGCUCCUAGAAGGCUAAACAUCAAGUCCCCUCCCAGACUCUCCACCAUUGCAGUUGAGAGCACCUCAGAUGGCCCAAGUGAGGAAGCCAUCUCAAGCAAGGUUUGUGAUCGAGGUAAAGUCACCCUGCAAGAGCCUGUGGUAGCUGAUUGGCCGCUAAAUGUGGACAAGGGUAAAUCACCCAGUGGAUUUGGAGGUAGGCCAGCUGCAAGGGUCACUCAGAAAUCCAGCAACGGAACUGGGGUAGGUGAAGAUACCAGUCCCUGCUCAUCACCUUUAAAGAUGACGAGCCCAUCCCGCACUCCAAAGAGCCAAGGGCCACACACCAGAACGUCCUCUGUAGCAGCCUUGUCUGUACCAGCCCACGCUGUGGAAAUGCCACUCGAAGAUUCCACUUCACAAAAACAACCAGAAAGAGAUGGUGAAAAUGUAGUCACGCCGAGCAGGAGGAGUCAGAGACUUCAGAAGUCUUCCUCGCUUUCCAACCAAGCUAGUGUUUCCACCGUCAACCUCGGCUCACAGCCAGCAGUCAUGGAUGAGGCUGCAGGUGCCAGAACUGAAACAAGCAGGGCAUCAUCAGAGGCUCAAGACAACUCUCUCCAUCCUCCUAGACACCGGAAACGAGCAUUGGCAGACAGAACUCCCUCCCCUAAUUGCAAGACCCUGGCCCACACUCCGUCCCCGCAGAAACUCUCCAAGUCGGCCACCCCGAGCUCCCUCCACGAGUGGCAGCGGAAGAAGAGACUCCGGCGCGACUCGCCCGAGAGGUCCACCUCGCCUAUCUUUUCCAGGGUCACCCCUCCCUCCGCCCAGCGGAAAAGGAAGCCCGCCACCCCGCCUCCCGCACAGUCACCCAAGUUUGGUCGGGUGACGCCUUACUCGGAGAAGAGAAAAAGAGGACUGAAGCUGGGAGGCUCUACCAGGAAACAGAGUCCAGGAACAGUGACGCCUGAAGAAUCCUUGGGGAAAUCAGGCCAGUACAAGCUUGGCAAAGUGCGCAAAGCAAACGUGAAUCUCCUGACUCUGAUGAUGGGUGCAAGUAACGAUCACCCCAUCGCCGGCAAAAUGCAAACACGAAGCCAGUCACGUGAGAGUGCAAAAUCAGCAGGCGCCUCCAGCGACCUAUCGGACUGCCUUGAGGAGCAACAACCUGCAGUAUACACCUUCUUAGAUACCCAUCUGGAUGACUCUGACGACGAUGUCGACUUCCCCAAAAUGAUCUCCCCGAUCCGCCCAAAAGCCAGAGCCGUCGUGACUGACGAAACCUCCCCGGACGGAGUGAGUGAUCGCCCCACAAUAAAAAGUCCCAGCAUGUCAGCCAGGAGUUCCGCGUCAGUCUUCCUCUCAGAGGAUGAAGCGUCCUUUUCCACAGAUGACGUCUUCCUUCAAGCGUCCCCCUCACAUGCCAAGCGGAAGUUAAGGACUACCUCGCUGACCACCGGUGGGUUGUUUGAACUCAUGAACUCACCGUUAGUGGAGUCAGUUCAGAUGAUGUCAAGCUCAGGAUCCAAGGUUUCAUUCGGUAAAAAACCAAGGAAAGGUCGCCAGUUGUACCCAUCUGGUUCCCAGUCAUCGGUCAGUUCCCACAGGUCGUCGUCGCUGGGCCUGAGACGUUUGAGUAGCAAAGAGAGCCCGUGAAUUGGAUUUCAAAACAGUUGGGGAUAUUUCUCUUGUGCCUGCAUGUCCUAGCCAAAUAAAGGGCUUUUGGUAGCCAUUUUGAAACCAACUCAGCGGAUGAUGUGAUCUGAGGAACAGCGCAAAGUGGAAAGCCUGCCCCCCCCCGGCCGUCCGGAUCAGGUGGUCCAAGGUCGUCUGGUCCGUGUCCGUCCGUCUCAUCCGGGUCCACCCGGGCUCUGCCCCCAGUCGGGAGAACAGCUCCUGGGUCUCUGGCAACCAGUUAUCCUGGGCUGCAGACGACAGUGUCCAGCAGGGGGAAACAGAACAUGUUCUGUCGUUCAAAAAAGGUUGGAAAGAAUUGUGAAUUUAUCAUCAGCACAUGAAACUCAUGUUACAGAUUUAAAGAACCCAAUGAAUUAUUUAGAUAUGUUUUGACCAAAAAGCGAGUGUAAUUAAUCCACAUAGCUCCUAUAAUGUGGAUAGAGGGCCUUGCCCUUAGAACAAGGGGGCAAAGUCUCCCAAUGUCUCCGUCUCUCCUAACCUCCCCCCCGCACACACCAUAACACUCUGAAUUUACAGGCUGUGAAUUUUCAUUUGCCAAAAAACCUGGGUUCAAGCAUUGAACUAGGGUUUUCAGCUCAGUGCUACCAGGAUUUUGAGCGUCUCUCAUAUCAGCAACCAUAUCGACACUGGAGGAUUUUGUUGUUG